UUCUUUUCUCUCUUUUUUUCUCGGUAGAAGCGGAUGUUUCUACACAGUUUUUCUUUUCUUUUUGUUGCACUCUCCCCUUUUUCAAAAUUUCUUCUAAGGAUUACCACCCCAAACUUAUCUUUUUGCACAAAUUUUUCACUACAACAAUCAUGCUGAGCGAGGGUAGGAAGUGCUUGGCUUAUGGUUAACAUGACGGUUUACACAA
Molecule: long non-coding RNA, 205 nt
Filed under: Lathyrus oleraceus (garden pea)
Lineage: Eukaryota; Viridiplantae; Streptophyta; Magnoliopsida; Fabales; Fabaceae
Description: Pisum sativum (pea) long non-coding RNA (PSAT_LNC036567)
Source: RNAcentral